UCGCCGCUGCCCAGUUGUUGGCGUGGCUGCAACUGCAAUGCAGAUGCCAUGGGCUUCACUUCUUUGGAAACAAUGCCAUGGGCUUAGCAACGAGACACGGCCCAAAACUCCCGAUUGAAAAAGCACCGUCACCACCAUUACCGCUCAUAUGGACGCCGACUCCAUGUCCUGCUCACUGCAGAGUGCAGAGAGGUCCGGUGAGUUCUUCCUCCCCAUCCUUCUACCUUCUCGGCAAAGUGUUUUGACCUUCACCAGCCGAUGGAUACAGCUAUGGAGGGGAGUUUGCCGCCAGCUCCCUCGUGACUCGUGCCGCCAUGGAUCGGAGUACGGUGGGUGUGGCAGGCCCGAUACUAAAGCUUGAUGCUUCUAAAUGAAGUCACAACGUCUGUUCCAAUCGGAGCUCAAGGUGCGAGACGACGAGAGCUUUUCCAAACGGGAGUUUUAGGCCAUGUUUCGUUGCUAUUCAGUCAAAGCCCACUGUAUUGUUUCUAAACAAGCGAAGCCCAGCAAGUUGUUUUUCAUAACCGCAAUAAUCUCGCCUCAGCCUGUAGCCCCUGUCCGAUACAAUUAAUAGUUCUAUAGGAUGCUCGUGUGUUGAUAAAAUGUUAGAUAGUCUGUAAGUGAUAUUUCUAUAUCUAUACUAUACUUAAAGCACCA
Molecule: long non-coding RNA, 657 nt
Organism: Zea mays
Lineage: Eukaryota; Viridiplantae; Streptophyta; Magnoliopsida; Poales; Poaceae
Exons: 2
Source: RefSeq, a predicted model, not a curated record